CAAUAGCGUAUAUUAAAGUUGUUGCAGUUAAAAAGCUCGUAGUUGGAUUUCUGGUAGGAGUGACCGUGCCAGACUUGAUUGUCUGUGUAUUGUGUUGUCUCCAGCCAUCCUUGUGGAGAACUUUUCUUGCAUUAACUUGUAGGGAUUGGGACCCGCAUCGUUUACUGUGAAAAAAUUAGAGUGUUUAAAGCAGGCAAUCGCUUGAAUACAUUAGCAUGGAAUAAUAAGAUAGGACUUUGGUACUAUUUUGUUGGUUUGCAUACCAAAUUAAUGAUCAACAGGAACAGUUUGAGGAUAUUCGUAUGAACAUGUCAGAGGUGAAAUUCUUGGAUUUUGAUCAGACGAACUACUGCGAAAGCAUUUAUCAAGGAUGUUUNCAUUAA
This 383-nucleotide ribosomal RNA is filed under the name uncultured eukaryote. Its description in RNAcentral is "partial 18S ribosomal RNA". It matches the Rfam family "Eukaryotic small subunit ribosomal RNA", at positions 592 to 976 of the family's 1831-position model. The record is from RNAcentral.